Molecule: ribosomal RNA, 757 nt
Filed under: Pseudomonas oryzihabitans
Lineage: Bacteria; Pseudomonadati; Pseudomonadota; Gammaproteobacteria; Pseudomonadales; Pseudomonadaceae
Description: bacterial SSU rRNA
Rfam family: Bacterial small subunit ribosomal RNA
Source: RNAcentral
GCCCCGUCCGCGAGCCUUAAACAUUGCAGGUCGAGCGGAUGAGAGGAGCUUGCUCCUCGAUUCAGCGGCGGACGGGUGAGUAAUGCCUAGGAAUCUGCCUAGUAGUGGGGGACAACGUUUCGAAAGGAACGCUAAUACCGCAUACGUCCUACGGGAGAAAGUGGGGGAUCUUCGGACCUCACGCUAUUAGAUGAGCCUAGGUCGGAUUAGCUAGUUGGUAGGGUAAAGGCCUACCAAGGCGACGAUCCGUAACUGGUCUGAGAGGAUGAUCAGUCACACUGGAACUGAGACACGGUCCAGACUCCUACGGGAGGCAGCAGUGGGGAAUAUUGGACAAUGGGCGAAAGCCUGAUCCAGCCAUGCCGCGUGUGUGAAGAAGGCCUUCGGGUCGUAAAGCACUUUAAGUUGGGAGGAAGGGCUCAUAGCGAAUACCUGUGAGUUUUGACGUUACCAACAGAAUAAGCACCGGCUAACUUCGUGCCAGCAGCCGCGGUAAUACGAAGGGUGCAAGCGUUAAUCGGAAUUACUGGGCGUAAAGCGCGCGUAGGUGGCUUGAUAAGUUGGAUGUGAAAUCCCCGGGCUCAACCUGGGAACUGCAUCCAAAACUGUCUGGCUAGAGUGCGGUAGAGGGUAGUGGAAUUUCCAGUGUAGCGGUGAAAUGCGUAGAUAUUGGAAGGAACACCAGUGGCGAAAGCGACUACCUGGACUGACACUGACACUGAGGUGCGAAAGCGUGGGGAGCAAACAGGAUUAGAUA